This 468-nucleotide ribosomal RNA is filed under the name uncultured bacterium. Its description in RNAcentral is "partial 16S ribosomal RNA". It matches the Rfam family "Bacterial small subunit ribosomal RNA", at positions 38 to 507 of the family's 1533-position model. The record is from RNAcentral.
GGGGGGGGGGGGGGGGGGGCGGGGGGGGGGGGGGUGGGGCGGGGGGGCCCUGCUUGUGUGGGGUGCUCGGGUGGCGCCCGGGUGGGUAACCCGUGCGUCACCGGCCCUUGACUUUGGGAUCCCUUCCGGCACCUGGGGCUCAUCCCGGGUCGGCGCUCCUCCUGCCUGUUGGGGGUUGGAACUUUUCGGCGGUUGGGGAUGGCCUCGCGGCGUCUCAGCUUGUUGGUGGGGUCGUGGCUUACCAAGGCUUUGACGGGUAGCCGGCCUGAGAGGGUGACCGGACACAUGGGGACUGAGAGACGGCGCAGACUCCGACGGGAGGCAGCAGUGGGGAAUAGUGCACAAUGGGCGGAAGCCUGAUGCAGCAACGCCGCGUGCGGGAUGACGGCCUUCGGGUUGUAAACCGCUGGCGCCUGUGACGAAGCGGGAGUGACGGUAAUGGGUAAAGAAGCACCGGCUAACUACGUG